Molecule: non-coding RNA, 1083 nt
Organism: Coturnix japonica (Japanese quail)
Lineage: Eukaryota; Metazoa; Chordata; Aves; Galliformes; Phasianidae
Source: RefSeq, a predicted model, not a curated record
UUUAUUUUAUUUAUUUCCAGAGUCAGACAGCUAACUCACACAAGAGACAAGGAUCGAAUUUGUCCUGAUGAUUGCCUAAAUUCAAGUGCUCCUUUUUACUCAUUGCGAUUCUGCUUCUUGUUUACUGCCGGUGACAUCUGCAGAUUCUGAGAUGGAUGUAGAUCAGCGUCUCUGCUCAGAGGGUCCUAGCUUCUACUGACUGACCUUUACAAAUGUAACAACAAUAAUUAUCCUAUAAUUAGACACUCUAAGUCACAUUGUUGCUAAAGCUGUUGGUGUGGGAAGGAAGCAAGCAGUGCUUAAGGUAAGAGUUGAAGUCUUCUUCAUUGUCACACCAGAGGUAUUUGUGCCAAGUUGCUGGCAUUUCAUUAGGUGGUUGUUGGGGUUCCCUUUUAAUUGCAUCUCAUAAGUUAGUGAUUGCUGUUCAUGACUCAGUGAUUGUCCAUCCCAGGUCAUAGAGAGCAAAGGGCAUGUGGGGUAUCAUCAGAUUUCAUGUUCAUGCCACCAUUUUGGCCGCUGACAAACCACCCAAAGUCACUGUGCUGAUGUUCUGCCAUCCAUAUGACUUUAGUGGUGCACUUCAGUCUUUCCAGUUUUCACCCCAGAGCUCAAAAUGCAAAAGAUUCUGGUAAGUGGCAAAUAUAUAGAGUUUAUGUGAAAACCAGAUGUCCUUUCUUGGCAUUAAUAAUACCUCUGAAACCAUAAUUUUCAUUGUACCAUCAAAACAGGUGAGACAUGGAGACGUUCUUGCAGAAGUGUCCAAUCUAUAACAAGGUUUGGAAGUGCAGCUCUGGAUUAAAGACACAGAGUGAAUCUGAUCAAUCUUUCCCAACAUGGGCUCUUCACUUCUUUGUCACCCACUCCCUGGUUGCUUCUUCCUGAAUUAACCUUGUAAUAAUGCUGUUUCUUUCUUUUUCUCGUAGCUUAAUCUUCCUCGGGCACAGGACAUCAAGGGGUGUCUGCAGAAAUUCACAAGAUGGAUUUCUUGCUCUGUUGUCCACAUUUCAGCGUCGUGCUGCUUGGACUGGUUAUCCAAACCUCUCAGUAAAAAUAUUAUUAAUAAAAUCACACAUUCAUAUCAUA